Hypomesus transpacificus is the source of this 3073-nucleotide long non-coding RNA. RefSeq lists it as uncharacterized. NCBI's taxonomy places the organism in Eukaryota, Metazoa, Chordata, Actinopteri, Osmeriformes, Osmeridae. The record is from RefSeq and is a predicted model, not a curated record. The transcript has 2 exons.
UUGGCCUCACUGUUCCAAUACUUUUGGAGGGCACUGUACCUUUUACUGCCAGAUCUUUACACUCGACGGUGAGGAAAGUGGAUACUAACAAGGAAAGUGUAACUGGAUACUAACAAGGAAAAGUGAAUUAUUCAUCCAAUGACACAGCCUCUGGAACUAAGACUGAACCUAACCCUGCUGAAGACCAUUCUCCAGGACUAGGACUAACCCAAACCUGAAGACCAUUCUCCAGGACUAGGACUAACCCCAAAACACCAUUAUCCAGGACUAGGACCACCCCAACCUGAACACUAGUCUCUGGGACUAGGACCACCCAUACUUGAACACCAGUUAGGACUAAGAAGUGUCCUAAGUAACAACCAUAGGGAAUUCUGUCCCUUUUAGGUCACUAAGAAGCAUUGAUGCUAAAGUAUACCUCCUCCCCCACCUCCUCCUGCUACCGCCAAUUCAACCCCCAGCGUCCCUCGAGGAUUGGAGGGGGGGGGGGGGGGCAUGUGAUUGUCGACCGCCUGCACUUUAUGGUUCCCCAUUCAUUCUGAAUCAUGCCUCGGUUUCCAGUCAGAUCUGCCAGCCUGUCUCUUGCUCUGCCUUUUCAGACUCAGAGCCAGUGAAACCGAGAGAGAGAGCGAGAGCGAGAGAGAGAGCAUCAGAGCGGUGUUCCCCAGAGUCAGCCUGCAGCUGUGUGUCCCUCAGCCCCCUCAGCCCGGAUCUCACAGCUCCCCGGAAACGCCCUGGAGGACCGUGGCCGUCGCGGGGUUGGACGUCUGGGGAGACUCUCCUGAGAGGUGGUCAGCCUUCUCCUGGAGAGCCAGCUGGCCCUUAGGCCCCCACCAGACCCCCCUAGACCCUUCCAGACUCCCCAGCCCCCCCCCCCCCCCCCCAGACCCUUCAGAGGACCGCAGAGCACGGCAACAUGAGACCGUCCAUGGGAUUAACCAAUUCAAGCCACAAGCGAUGACAGCGUCAUAUUAGCUGGACUGGUGGGACGCUAAUUUAAGGGUUGAACUUUGACAUCUAACGCUGUCCGACCUCAUAUUUGACAGGGUUGGGGAGGACAGGACUCAAUGUUCGCUCGACGAAAACAUGAAUUAGCGACGCCCAGACUUGUAAGAUCCUCACCACUGCUAUUUGCUUACGGAGUGCAGUUGUGUCUCAUCUCUGCCAAAGCUCAAAGAUGUUAUCAUAUCCAUGAAAGACGCCCUGUUCAGAAAACUGAAGCUAUUGAAGUUUUUACAGGUAGACCACAUGACACAGCACUGCAAACCCAGUCUGAGUGAGAUGCCAGUCUGCAGACUGAGAGCUGAUUGGUCACAUUCACAUGCUGUCGAAUCCUGAAGCAUCUCUGAGUUUGGUGUCUAUUCCGGCAUGGCGGAGAUCUGAGCCCUGUUGAGAGGACUCAGGGCUUUCUCACUUUCAUCUGAGCAGCUGUGAUCUGGUUUCAACUUCUGGUGUGGUGAGGAGACAGGAUGUUGCUCACCGCACUCUUCUAGAGAAGUUUGCUUGGGAAUGCGUCACACCAAAGAUUCAUCACACCGAAGGUUCGGUGCGAAACAGAAAUAAACGUAGUUCCACCUCAGUCUAAAACCAACGUUGUUAUUGUGUUUGUAAUCCAAUCAGUCCCGAACAUCACCACCACAGACACCAUUUCACUGAUACCUGUCAGAUGCACUACAAAUCUGCUUGUCUGCAAAGAAGACAAUGGAUUACUGACCAAUUACAAGGAGUUAGGGUCGAUGACAUCACAGCAGUAGGUGUUGAUUCAUUCAGCUUGUGGUGACAGGGCCUCAGUCUAGAUGAGCCAUGCUCAACCCUGGUCCUCAGGGCCCACUGCCCUGUAUGUUUUAGAUGUUUCCCAACACACUUGAUUCAAAUGCAUGGGUCGUUAUCAGUCAUUUGUAUCAGGUGUGUUGGAAGAUGAAAACAUUCUAGAACAUCCGGGGAAGGAGGACCUUGAGGACCAGGGUUGAGAAAGUCUGCUCUAUAUCAAUAGAGAGCGGGUCAUACCAUUCUCAGCCCCUUGGAGGGCCCUACUAUCCUGAGGGUCGUACCAUCUUCAGCCCCCUGGAGCUAACAGGGCACGUUGGGUGGAUCCAGUCUGCAACACAAGCAUGAAUGCCUAAUGUGAUGAUGAGAUUAGAAUGCCUGGGAUAGAAAGGUUGUCCCCUCCUUCUGUCUUUUUCACUCACACACAGACGCAUCUGACAGACACCGAUACCUUUGGCCCAUUUAAGACCUGAGUUUCGCCGGUUCUAGUGUUCCUUACUUCCAGGAAUCUGCGAUACUCUAGCUGUUACGCAACAUUAGAUCCCGGUCCAUUUAUCAGAGUGUGUGGAUGUCAGAGAGUGACACAAACUGAGAGUGAAUUGAAAUGCAAAUAUUGGCUGCCUGUCUUCCCGUAAAUCUUAUCCUGAUGACCUUUACCCCUUGGAGUGACCCGAUGGGAAGGGCUUUAAUCCUCCAGUCAAGUGCGCCCUGGGUAAUCAUUGCCCUCGCUGCUAUCUUAUCCAGAGCAGAUAACUGUGCUGUCAGGUGGCCAGGUCCCAGGAGUCAUGAGACUUGCCACGUUCAGAACUUCCCCUCAGAGAUUAAGAAACGUCCACACUACCAUCUAGAGUCCAGAGCACAGGAACGAGCACACUGCCUGGAGGUUCUUAGAAAGUCUGACUUCAGAAACGGGGUGACGAAUUGGGAAGAAAUACUUGAUAAGAAAUCGUGUCAGCCAAAGCUCAACGAUAUAUCAAGGAAAGCCAUGGCUGUUCAGAACCCUGGCUUUUGAUGCCUUGUUUUACGAGUAUGCCACAUGACCCAGCCCUAAAAACCCCACCUGACUGUCAUGAGGGUCAGGCAGCAGUAGCUAUCGGGAGCGCAUCCUGAAAGGUUCACGUAUAACGGAUCCUUUUCUACAGCUCAAGAAAAGUGAAGAAGAUGAGACAAUCCACAGACAAAAUGCGAUGCAAAAGUUUUUUAAUGCAGAGAUUACUGGCUACAAGGAGAGCGACACUAAGGCCAAAGGUAGAGAACGCCAUUUUACAUGCUGAGGCAGAUUACAUACAGAGAACUCCGAAGCGGUAUA